RNAcentral lists this transfer RNA (69 nucleotides) under Zonosaurus aeneus. Its description in RNAcentral is "tRNA-Ile". Lineage: Eukaryota; Metazoa; Chordata; Lepidosauria; Squamata; Gerrhosauridae. The record is from RNAcentral.
GGAUGUGUGCCUGAAUAAAGGACUACUUUGAUAGAGUAGAACACAGGAGCUUAAAUCUCCUCACCUCCU